Molecule: long non-coding RNA, 2949 nt
Organism: Erinaceus europaeus (western European hedgehog)
Lineage: Eukaryota; Metazoa; Chordata; Mammalia; Eulipotyphla; Erinaceidae
Exons: 3
Source: RefSeq, a predicted model, not a curated record
AGUCACUGUCACUGGGGUUGGCGACCGCGCCUUAGGGAUUUGAAUCUUUCGGUAUUCGGCUACUCUCCCCUAGCUCCUCUCUCUUCUUUUCUCAGCAGUCUACCCGGCUUAGAAGCGCUCGGUGUUCGGCCAAGCCUCCUGUCGCCUGGUAGUGGGACCGGAAGUUGUCCGGGGGAGGGGGGGAACGACUGUAGUGGGGGGGUUGGGGGGGCCGGUCCCUCCACAGGUGAAGCCGCUGAUGGAGAUGGAGCCACCGCCGCUGAGCACCCGGGUCCCGGCUCCGGCCUGGUUGCCGCCGCCUCAGUGACCCCAGUGCCCCCGCACUGGGCCAUCCGGGCCAGAGUGGGGGACCCCCGCCGCCCCGCCCCCCUCUCCCCCAACACCGUCCCUUCUCCCUCGCUCCCCCCAGCCUGCGCGCGCGCGGAGCUGCCUCAGUCUACAUGGGACAGGGAAGAGCAAAGAACAAGAGAAAAGAUGCAGCAUCAAUCUCAGAUCUAAAAGGAGACAAUGAGGCUCAGGGCCACUGAAACUUGGAAACCAGAGGAAACUUGGCUGCCUUGUUUGUCAUCAAUAAUUAGAGGGGUGUGUGUGAUCAAAUCUAGUACCUGACACAUACGAAGCACAUACUCUGCUACUGAGCUGUAUCCCAGCCCCUUGAAUACAGGUGGUCACUGAUGUGUGGCCUACCCGUGGAAAUUAAAACUCCAAAUUGGUUCUCACCUGCUGCUCUUCGGCAAGUAUUAUGGGGAGUCUGUCUAGAAGAAAUGCCCAGCCUGUUCAGAUGUGAGGUUGUGUUAAUGAGAGGAAACCAGGGCCACAGAAUUGGGAUAGUGCCAAGUAGACUCAAGAGUAGGGAAGAAAGUCUCUCUCCAGAGAUUACAAUGGUCAACUUUUCCCCCCUCCUCACAGAGAUACUUCUCAAAUUGGGAGACUGGCUAUUUCUAGUUGCUUCCUGGGCCUUUGCUGAACUGAAUUUACAGUAUAUACGUGCCUACCUCUAUCACUGAAUGACAUCUGUGUUUCUAUAAAACCAGUUUCUGGGCCAGUGAAACAACUCACUUAGUGCGUUGCUUUGUCAUGUGCAUGACCCACGUCCAAACUCAGCCCCCACUGCAUUAAAAGAAGCUUCUGUCCUGUGGUCUCUUCACAGCCCCCCACCCUGUCUCUUAGCUUCUGUCUUUAUACUAUAUAUAAUAUAACAUAAUGUAAUGUAAUAUAAUAUAAUAUUAUAUCCCCAAGAUCUUUGAGCCAAGCCUGUCUUAUGUAACUCCUGUACCUCCUCCCCCCCCCCAUGGUGUGUCUCCAGUUGGCACUGCUUAAUAUGACCCAGUUUCUCUAAGAAGACACUAAGAUCGGCCUUCCUGGCCUGGCAGGGGAGGAGGAGCUUUGAGGGAAUAGGCAGGUUGGGAGGGAGACCUGAGCUGUGAAGUAUAUCUACUGAUUUGUACCUGGCUUUCAAAAAUACUAGGAUCAGCAACAGCGGGAUCUCAAAAUCCUCUGGCUCCCGGGGUUACCAACCUGGCAUUCAGACUGGUUGGAGGCAGCUGGGGACUGGUUUUGCCCCAGAUGUGUCAGGGAGCACCUGUUAUGAACAGUUAAGAAGCAGGAAACUCAGUUUACUAGCAGGAACAAAGUCCAACUCAGAAAACAACUUCUUCAGACCAUUCUGGAAAUUGUUUUGGGGCAAUUUGGGCAGGUGUCCAAGAAUGAAGUGUACUUGCUGAGCCAGUGCAAGCUGAACAGUAGGCUUCAACUGGGCUAGUGCUAGCCCAGCCCCUAGUGUACAUACGUGUACACACACACACACACACACACACACAAUCAUAUUUUCCUAGUUCUCCCAAUAGAGUCUGCUCAACUUGUUCUUUUUUAAGUAGCAGACACCAUUCCCACAGGGAUCACACUAAAGGAAAAGAGGACCAAUGUUAGGGAAAAACAGGAAAAGUCUUGAGGAACCUUGCUUUUGAAAGGAAGCGGGAUGGUGUGGUUGAAAGAGCACAUGUCAGAAAGGGAGGAAACUUGUGUUUUUUUCUUGUUCCACUUUCACUAGGAGCCCUGAAACAAGUCAGUUAACUACUCUGAAUCUGUUUCUCCAAGCAGAAAAUGGGGGGAAAUCCCAAUCACUUCUGCUCUCCCUACACCAGUGUAUAUGGGGAAAUCCCAAUCAUUUCUGCCCCUCCUACACCAGUGUAUAUGUGUGGGAGAAGUUGUGUAGGCAUUUGAGAUUUGCAGUAGCUUUGAAAAAUCCCAAAGGGCCAUUAUGGAGCUAAUGAUUUGGAAAGGAAAGGGUCCCGUGAGUAUUAGACCACUCUCCAUCUUUGGAUCUCUGACCACUGCAAGUUUUCUGGCUAGUUGCAGAGGGUGGGAGUUAACUAACUACUGUGGACUUGGGUUCUAGUCAUUACUCCUAAGGGAAUCUUCAAGGAAGAUUAAUAUUGUGGCUUGGUCUAAUAGUCUGAUCCCAAAGCUCAAUCCCUGCCAGAGAGACUGUCAAGAAAAGAAGGUUUGAAAAUAAAUGUAGUGGUGGAGGGGUAGAUAGCAUAAUGGUUAUGCAGAGAGACUCAAGCCUGAGGCUCCAAAGUCCCGUCCUCAAUCCCCCACAUCCCCAUAAACCAGAGUAAAGCAGUGCUCUGGGAAGAAAGAGAGGAGAGGAAUGGGGGUAGGGAGGAGGGAAGGGGAAGGAGGAAAGAAAGAAAAAGAAAAGAAAAGAAAUGACUGGAGAAAUGGCCCAAAAUGGCAGAACAUAGGGCUUUCAUGUUCAAGGUUAAUGGUUCAAUCCCCAGCACCGUAUGUACCAGAAUGGUGCCCUGGCUUCUCUCUCUUUUUUCUGCCUCCUUUAAAACUCUCUCUCAUAUGUAAUAAAAUAUAAAUCUUAAAGAAGAGAGAAAAAAAUAGCUGGGGAGACAGCAUAAUAGCUAUGCAAGACUUUAAUUCCUGAAGCUCUGAGGU